RNAcentral lists this small RNA (981 nucleotides) under Arabidopsis thaliana (thale cress). Its description in RNAcentral is "ATSL216250". The record is from RNAcentral. Lineage: Eukaryota; Viridiplantae; Streptophyta; Magnoliopsida; Brassicales; Brassicaceae.
GAAUCAUCUACAAGAUUCAUGAGCAGAACAAUGGCGUUGUACUUUAUCCAGAAAUUUGUUCAAGAGAAGAUUUGGCAGACUUAUUCUCAAAUACUGUUUAUUCUCUGCCACAUCUUCUAAUCAUGCAGAGAUUUUACUAAUUCAUGAAGCUAGCCGCGAGUGUGUAUGGCUAAGAUCCAUAGUUCACCAUAUACAAGAAGACUGUGGUAUGUAUGCAGGGAAAAAGACUCCAACAAUUAUGUACGAAGACAAUGCAGCAUGCAUCGUACAACUCAAAGACGGAUACAUCAAAGGCGAUAGAACAAAGCACAUCCUACCAAAAUUCUUCUACACACACGAUCUACAAAAGAGCGGCGAUGUACGAGUUCUACAGAUCCGUUCGAAUGAUAAUCUGGCUGACUUAUUCACCAAGGCGCUACCUACUGCUACUUUCAAGAAGUUAGUCUAUCGUAUCGGAUUACGCCGUCUCAAAGAUCUCGACGAAUAUACUCAUAAAGGGGAGUAAUUGUAUGUUGCACUCUUUUUCCCUUAACCAUGGUUUUUCCCAUUGGGUUUUCCUGGUAAGGUUUUUAAUGAGACAGCAUUUCAAAUACUUUACGAGUUAUGGUACUAUAAUGGUCAUCAGGGGGAGUGUUAUGAAUAAAGAUGGAUGCCCAUUAUAAGGCCAAUCAUCUAAGCCCAUCAUCUAGAUGUUUUUAGGGUUUUACCCUUUCCUUGUACUCCUAUAUAAAGAACUCUUUAUCUCAAUGGAAGAACACACUCAUUUCCUCUAUCUCUUUCUCUGUUUAUAACAAAAAUGAUUUACUAAUGUUUUUAAGGACUUUAAAAGAGUUUUAAAAUAAUUUUGAAAGGAUUUACAAAAGUUUUUAAAAUCCUUGUAAAUCCUUUAAAAACUCUUUAACAACUCUUGUAAAUUAUUUUAAAACCUUUUUACAAUGGUUUUUAAAGAGGUUUACAUAUGUAUUUAAAGACUUUAUAAGG